Molecule: ribosomal RNA, 619 nt
Filed under: uncultured bacterium
Lineage: Bacteria
Description: bacterial SSU rRNA
Rfam family: Bacterial small subunit ribosomal RNA
Source: RNAcentral
UCGAGCGAGCGGAACUAACAGAUUUACUUCGGUAAUGACGUUAGGAAAGCGAGCGGCGGAUGGGUGAGUAACACGUGGGGAACCUGCCCCAUAGUCUGGGAUACCACUUGGAAACAGGUGCUAAUACCGGAUAAGAAAGCAGAUCGCAUGAUCAGCUUUUAAAAGGCGGCGUAAGCUGUCGCUAUGGGAUGGCCCCGCGGUGCAUUAGCUAGUUGGUAAGGUAAAGGCUUACCAAGGCGAUGAUGCAUAGCCGAGUUGAGAGACUGAUCGGCCACAUUGGGACCGAGACACGGCCCAAACUCCUACGGGAGGCAGCAGUAGGGAAUCUUCCACAAUGGACGCAAGUCUGAUGGAGCAACGCCGCGUGAGUGAAGAAGGUUUUCGGAUCGUAAAGCUCUGUUGUUGGUGAAGAAGGAUAGAGGUAGUAACUGGCCUUUAUUUGACGGUAAUCAACCAGAAAGUCACGGCUAACUACGUGCCAGCAGCCGCGGUAAUACGUAGGUGGCAAGCGUUGUCCGGAUUUAUUGGGCGUAAAGCGAGCGCAGGCGGAAGAAUAAGUCUGAUGUGAAAGCCCUCGGCUUAACCGAGGAACUGCAUCGGAAACUGUUUUUCUUGAGUG